This 323-nucleotide ribosomal RNA is filed under the name uncultured bacterium. Its description in RNAcentral is "bacterial SSU rRNA". It matches the Rfam family "Bacterial small subunit ribosomal RNA", at positions 28 to 334 of the family's 1533-position model. The record is from RNAcentral.
GAUGAACGCUGGCGGCGUGCUUAACACAUGCAAGUCGAACGAGAAUCAACGGAUUGAGGAUUCGUCCAAAUGAAGUUGAGGAAAGUGGCGGACGGGUGAGUAACGCGUGAGGAACCUGCCUCGGAGUGGGGAAUAACAGUUGGAAACAGCUGCUAAUACCGCAUAAUGCAACGGAAUCGCAUGACUCUGUUGCCAAAGAUUUAUCGCUCUGAGAUGGCCUCGCGUCUGAUUAGUUAGUUGGUGAGGUAACGGCUCACCAAGACGAUGAUGGGUAGCCGGCCUGAGAGGGUGAACGGCCACAAGGGGACUGAGACACGGCCCUU